This 253-nucleotide ribosomal RNA is filed under the name uncultured bacterium. RNAcentral's name for it is "partial 16S ribosomal RNA". It matches the Rfam family "Bacterial small subunit ribosomal RNA", at positions 524 to 776 of the family's 1533-position model. The record is from RNAcentral.
UACGUAGGUGGCGAGCGUUGUCCGGAAUUACUGGGUGUAAAGCGCGUGUAGGUGGCACGCCAAGUCUGCUGUGAAAUCGCCCGGCUCAACUGGGCGGGGUCAGUGGAAACUGGCGGGCUGGAGGACGGUAGAGGCAGGUGGAAUUCCCGGUGUAGUGGUGAAAUGCGUAGAGAUCGGGAGGAACACCCGUGGCGCAGGCGGCCUGCUGGGCCGGUCCUGACACUGAGACGCGAAGGCGUGGGGAGCGAACGGG